Molecule: ribosomal RNA, 309 nt
Filed under: Membracis foliata
Lineage: Eukaryota; Metazoa; Arthropoda; Insecta; Hemiptera; Membracidae
Description: partial 12S small subunit ribosomal RNA
Source: RNAcentral
CCGGAAUAAAAGUAGUUAGGUUCUUCAUAACUCAAAGAAUUUGGCGGUUAAUAAAAUUUUCAGAGGAACCUGUGUAUUAAUUGAUAAACCACGAUAGAAGAUACCCUCACGCUAAUUUGUAUACCUCUAUGGGAAUAGAGUGUUUUUGAAAAAUUAUUUUCUUUAUAGAUUUAAUCUUUAAUUUUAGGUCAAGGUGCAGUUUUUUGGGGGUUUAUAUGGGUUAUUUAAAUUUUUAUUUAUUAUUUAAUUCUUAUGGAGCUAAUUUUAGGAUUUGAUAGUAAUUUAAAUUAAUUAGUUUUUUUGAAUUAU